GAUGAACGCUGGCGGCGUGCCUAAUACAUGCAAGUCGAGCGAAGCGGGGACGGGUGAGUAACACGUGGAUAACCUCCUAUAAGACUGGGAUCACUUCUGGAAACCGGAGCUAAACCGGAAACUUAUAGAUGGAUCCGCGCUGCAUUAGCUAGUUGGUAAGGUAACGGCUUACCAAGGCAACGAUGCAUAGCAGACCUGGGAGGGUGAUCGGCCACACUGUAACUGCGACACGGUCCAGACUCCUACGGGAGGCAGAAGGAGGGAAUGUUCCGCAAUGGGCGAAAGCCUGACGGAGCAACGGCGCGUGAUUGAGGACGGUCUUCAGAUCGUAAAACGCUGUUAUUAGGGAAGCGGUACCUAAUCAGAAAGCCACGGCUAACUACGUGCCAGCAGCCGCUGUAAUAC
Molecule: ribosomal RNA, 405 nt
Filed under: uncultured bacterium
Lineage: Bacteria
Description: partial 16S ribosomal RNA
Rfam family: Bacterial small subunit ribosomal RNA
Source: RNAcentral